CAUGCCUCCUGUUUGUUCUGUUCAUCAUAUGUUUUUUUUUUAUUUGAGUUUUUUCUGCAUAUUUAUGUGAUCUUUUUUCUUUUAAUUUGUGUUGGGAGACUGCGUAACCGGGAAUUCCAAGCGUUGAUGAGACUCGUCUUACAGCAUUCAAUGCCCUGGUGGCUUGCAAAUACUUUAGCUUAUCAAGUCGCGUUGUGAAUGUUCAACAAUGAUUGGAUUCCAUAAAAUGGAAUGGUUGUUAAGGAAUUUUGCCAAAUGAUUCGUACUCCUGUUGUAGCUUCCACAUUUGUAAUACAAGAUUAUAAAAUCAAAUAGGUUUAUUUUCUUUUAAUGGAUUUUCAUGCCCUGUUCUAAGGCUCACAUUUGUAGCCUUGUAUAAGUCUAUCAUGGAAGUCAAGAAAGCAACAUUCCAAAUAUUUGUUCGUCUGUCUGAUCAUUCCAUGUUAUAAAAUCAAAUAGGUUUAUUUUCUUUUAAUGGAUUUUCAUGUCCUGUUCUAAGGUUCACAGUUGUAGCCAUGUAUAAGUCUAUCAUGGAAGUCAAGAAAGCAACAUUCCAAAUAUUUGUUCGUCUGAUGUUUUAAUAGAUCAUUCCAUGUUAUAAAGAUCCACUUGUUCCACAGACUGUCAGGAUGUUUGCAAUGAGUGAUGAGUUAGAUUUACAGCUGUCAAUUGUUCUUUCUUAAGUAUCUCCAUGGAAUUCUUAGUAAACCCUACAAAAGCUUCUUCAUAAGCCGCUCCUUUCAACGGUAAAGUGACCGCAAAAAACAACAUAAAUUGCCCUUUAUCCUUGUUCCUCUGAAUUUAUUUCUCAUUCUUCCUCCUGUUUUAUAGGUUUCUCAGCAUCAAUGUCGCUCUCCAUCUCCGUGUCUAUUGAAUUAUUCAGGGUUUUUGUUGCCAGGGACUCUACUUCCUUUUUAUCUGUCUGAAGAACUUUGCAAGUGUAUUGGAUGCAAGGGGACGAUUUUCCUUCAUUCACUCCAGUGAGACAAGGAACGUCGCGAUUCUCCUUCAUCGGUGUGCAUGCCGUGUUUUUUAUAUUGUAUAUAUGCAUGUGUUGUUCGGUGAUGCAGGAUAUUGCAGGUACAAGUACCGUGUAGGUACAGGGUAUCGUCUCCACCUGGCUUCACAGGUCUGAGUGUGUCUUAUAUUUGUCCGAUGGAAGUGGAGGAGAUAGUAGUUGACCCUAUUUUAACUAGUUACACUCUUGUGAGUGUCGUCAGUUGGUCGUCCUAUCAGUUUGUUCGGCCUUCGUUUUUGUCAUUUGACCUUUUUAUGAGUCUUUGCUUGGGGUUUGCUCAGUUUGUGUGUUUAGUGGAUUUAAUUAAUUAAUUAAAUUUAUGGAGUUAUCUCAUAGUUGGUAUUUUUGAAUUAUGUAUUUUAUGCAUUGAGAUAUUAAAUUUAAUUAAUUAAAAGAAAUUAUUAAAUUAGAUUGCAAGUUGCAUUGUAUUCGAAUUAUAUCUUAUUUAAAUUUUAGCGAAAAAUAAAUUAGAUUAAUUUCAUUUAUUGUUUCCUAGAAUUUUUAAAUAAAUAAAUGAA
Cryptomeria japonica (Japanese cedar) is the source of this 1536-nucleotide long non-coding RNA. RefSeq lists it as uncharacterized. The transcript is spliced from 3 exons. The record is from RefSeq and is a predicted model, not a curated record. NCBI's taxonomy places the organism in Eukaryota, Viridiplantae, Streptophyta, Pinopsida, Cupressales, Cupressaceae.